CGCUGGAAGAAAUCCUGAGCAUUUCGGGGGCUGCAGUGAAGCACUUAAGCAGAAAUCAGCUGCACAACGAGCCAAUCGACCUACCUACCUACAAACUGCUUCCGCCCACGUGAACCGGUGGGAGCCCUCUUCUACCGUCACAACGCGUUACCGGGAUCACUAUGUGAUGCAAACCUUCGUCAGCGUCACCGAGCAAACACUCAAGGAGAUACAAUGAUAUUGGUCUACUAGUAUACUACGGCAUCACAAGUACAAUCGACAAGCCCAUCGUUAACCAUAUAUGUGGAGACCGUAUGGCUAAACUCCGCAAUAGAGGUAUUUCAUCGUCUCUUUCAACUAUACACAGCGCUCUUGGACACAGCCGUGAUCGACGAAUGGAGACUUAUAAAAGCUGUAGAAUAUAAAACCUCUAGACCAUUAAAAAACCCCAUAAGAUACGAGCAGCUGUUCAUUGGCGUUCGGGCGAUGUCCCGCUAGUUCGUUUACAUUUACUGACCGGUGUGACGAUCUACGAUUGUCGUCUGGGAUCUAUUCUCCAUUGCAGGCAUCGUCCCGAUAGCGAAUAUAGCUAUCAUCCCGUUCGCUUGAUUGGCAGACCAAACAAGCUCACAAAUUAAAUUAGAAACAAAAUUGCCUGCUUGUUCGAAUCACAAUUUUUGGGUUGAAAAAGCCAAAAUAAAAACAAAUUAUUAUGCAACGAUGCACGCCCGUUUUGUUAACUAAAUAAGUUGGCUCUUCGUGCCAAGUUGAAAGCUGCCGGCGCUCCGGCGAUGAUGGAAACGUCAUCGUGGAGGCUGGCGGAGGUGUUAUUCCAGUCAGAAAGGGGUUCUUGGUUCGUCCACAUGAAAUGAUAAGAAGAUAGCGCACGUCACCGAAACCGCUACAUCUGGUUAGAAACUUCUGUCCGUCGUUAGUGUGAUCAGUCAA
This is an RNA transcript of Varroa destructor (honeybee mite), 927 nucleotides long. RefSeq lists it as uncharacterized. NCBI's taxonomy places the organism in Eukaryota, Metazoa, Arthropoda, Arachnida, Mesostigmata, Varroidae. The record is from RefSeq and is a predicted model, not a curated record.